UAGAGUUUGAUCAUGGCUCAGAGUUAACGCUGGCAGCGUGCAUAACACAUGCAAGUCGAACGGGAUUUUCUUGAGAUUAUAUCAAGAGGAAGUCUAGUGGCAGACGAGUGAGUAACACGUAAGGAAUCUACCCAUGGGUGGGGGAUAACGCGCCGAAAGGUGCGCUAAUACCCCAUAUCAUCUUCUGAUGGCAUCGUCAGGGGAUAAAAGGCGUAAGCCGCCAAUGGAUGACCUUGCGACCUAUCAGCUUGUUGGCGGGGUAACGGCCCACCAAGGCUACGACGGGUACCCGGCCUGAAAGGGCGACCGGGCACGGAGGCACUGAGACACGGGCCUCACUCCUACGGGAGGCAGCAGUGGGGAAUUUUGGACAAUGGGGGAAACCCUGAUCCAGCAACGCUGCGUGAGGGAUGAAGGUCUUCGGAUCGUAAACCUCUUUUUUGGGGGACGAAUGCCCGCAAGGGUUUGACGGUACUCCAAGAAUAAGCCACGGCUAAAUAUGUGCCAGCCGCCGCGGUAAUACA
Molecule: ribosomal RNA, 524 nt
Filed under: uncultured bacterium
Lineage: Bacteria
Description: bacterial SSU rRNA
Rfam family: Bacterial small subunit ribosomal RNA
Source: RNAcentral